RNAcentral lists this unclassified non-coding RNA (261 nucleotides) under fungal sp. RNAcentral's name for it is "partial internal transcribed spacer region". The stretch from base 1 to 45 matches the Rfam family "Eukaryotic small subunit ribosomal RNA", at positions 1787 to 1831 of the family's 1831-position model. Lineage: Eukaryota; Fungi. The record is from RNAcentral.
AGUCGUAACAAGGUUUCCGUAGGUGAACCUGCGGAAGGAUCAUUACUAAAUCCAACAAAACCAUUUAAACCUGUUGAAACGUUGUUUAUUCUUGUGGGAUAUGAUCGGGGUGUCUCAUUCAUAUAUCAUGUGAAGGUGCACCGCGGGAUAUGCCACAAGAGUAGCAAAUUAUAUACACCAUGAGAGAGAUUCACCAAUGACAGUUAUUUUAUACAUCAUAUAUAAAAAGCAUAACUUUUAACAAUGGAUCUCUUGGCUCUU